Molecule: long non-coding RNA, 1791 nt
Filed under: Homo sapiens (human)
Lineage: Eukaryota; Metazoa; Chordata; Mammalia; Primates; Hominidae
Description: HSALNT0378956
Source: RNAcentral
AGCCCUGUUCCUGCUCCGGCUCCUGCGGGGAUGGAUGCUUCACGCAGUAAGCGAAAGGGGCUGUCCGAAAUAGAGACUGCUCCUUCAGCCUGGACCCAACUGCGAAGAAGCCACAUGGAACAGAGCUGCAGCUAACCUGAAGUCUGUGUGAACUGAGUGCAAGAGACAAAUGUUUGCCACUGGAAAUCACGGAGAUCUGGGGAUCAUUUGUUACUGCAGCCUCUAGCAGAAGCUGACUGAUACACAGAGGGAAUUGGGUGCUGGGUGGGUGGAAACAGUAUAUAUGCCCCAGAGAGGCCAACUCCAAAAGCUGUGUGAAUUCAGAGAGAAACACCCAUGGCUUAAGGCUUGAAACAAGAGGCAGGAGGUUGGGGGAUAUUGGUUUUUGGUGAACUUACUGGGCUUGCUGAGGCAGAGCAACACCUGUUUCUCUGGGCCAUUACUACAAAGGUCAGAUUGCGAGUCUUGUCCUAGAUUCAGCCUUCUUUGAGAGUUUUCCUUAAGACACAGUUUGAGCAGAUUACUUUCUUGCUUAGAAUCCCUCAGUAGGUCCCCACUGCCCCAGGAUAAAGUCUAGACCCCCAAGCACGUCCUGCACGGCCUUGCUGACAUGUCUGAGUCUGGGCAUUGUACUAGUGAGCCACAAAGUGUGCAGGUCCUGGUGCCCACCCCAUCUCCACUGCUGCCCAGGGCGCAAAUCCACAUCACCCCUUAGCUGGACUAGGGCUAGUGCCUCCUAACUGGAAGGAUUCCACUCAGCUCCCUUCUAAUCCACCGUCCACCCAGCCACUUCUCAAAUGUAAACCCAGUCUUGUUGCCAUCCUACUGUCACGUAUACAAUAAAAUCCAAACUCAUUCUGGAGUGGGUGGGGCGGCUUGUAUUUUCCAAAACUGACCACAUUUGUAUUCUCUUCUUACAAUGUGAUGCUGACACUCCUCCCAUGGAGGGGGCUCUGUGUCCCCUCCCCUCAUUGUGGGUGGGCUUGUGACUAUGGUGAAAAAGACACUCCUGAGGCGAGAUCAUGAGAGGUGACAUGACUUCCUCCUGGCUGUCUUGGGACAUGCACUCCUGGAAUCCAGCCCCCUGCCAGGAGAAAUCUCGAGCAGGCUGUGUGGAAAGGAAGGCAGGUGUCUGACCACAGCCGAAGCCAGCAUGAGAGUGCGCUGCCUGGGAAGUGACCUCUCCAGCCCCUGACCAGCCGCCCCAGCUGACUGCAUGGAGCUGUUGGUGAAGGAGACUCAUAGAUAAAGGUGCCUUCAGGAAGGAGAGAGAAGGGGAGGGAGACGGCUGGGGGAGAGGAGCGCCAUUUCCCAUGCUCUUACUGUAUGCAUGGCCACCUGCACAUAGGAUGCCUUUCUUAUGAGAGAAACUGAGGCUUCAAGAAGCCAGCUCUUUUAUUUGUGGCCACCCUGAUGGCAAGUUGACACCUAUGGGUGAAGUCCAGCUCCUCUAGGAGGCCCACCCCCUCUUUCUGCCCAUUUAGAUCCUUCUCUUCCUCUACAGGCCCUGGACCCCGUGAACCUCUCAGCUGCCUUGUCAGUGAGGAAGUGUUUUGGCCAGCACCUCUGCUCUAGUGACUUAGUAGACUCUUUCUUCUUGGGUGUUUAUUCUAGAAGAAUGGUGCCAUGGGAGAGGGCACUGUGGUGGGCAGGGACGUGUGGGACUCCUAGUCAGGGUGGGGUCAGCCAUUUCCCAACUCUGCCUUGCAGUCAGAUUCCCAUGUGGAUGUGGUCUCCUUGGGAAUGCGUUCUGCUUCCCCGGCUGGAGCCAGUAGCGUAAGGUGGAGGAAG